UGUAAAAGAAUGGAUAUGGUUUUGUUGUUGUUAAAUUCCUGUUAAACUUGGGAUCGCAACCAUGGGUUUAUUUUGGAACUUUUAUUUUGAAAAUCCGCAGCGGAAGUCUGCUACUGGUAAACGGGCUACCCCCUAAGCCUAUCGUUAGUAGCAAUGAAGCUUUCGCUGUGUUUGGGCGGAAUCCUGUUGCUGAAACCCAUGGUUAUUCAUGUCCCAUGUUAUUGCAGGGGAAUAAAUCGCGCCUGAGCUCUACC
This is a non-coding RNA of Maylandia zebra (zebra mbuna), 254 nucleotides long. NCBI's taxonomy places the organism in Eukaryota, Metazoa, Chordata, Actinopteri, Cichliformes, Cichlidae. The record is from RefSeq and is a predicted model, not a curated record.